AUGAAGUUCUCCUGGUGGAUGGGCGUACCUAGAGCCCCUCUGUGAGGGGUCGCAGGUUCCCUCUCCUUGCGCAUCUCUAGCUCAAGCCCCAAAGACCAAAGAGUGUAGGCCGAGGCCAUAGGAGGAUGGCAGUGCCGGUGGGCACACACCUGGCCUGGAAUCCUCAUUCUUGUCGGUACGAGUUAGUGAGUUGUAAUUUAUUCACAGCAGCUGGCUGCCUAUUCCUCCGGUUGAGAAGGGAUUGGUGAAAACAGAAGCAAGAAGGAUGGAGAGGCUUGGUCAGAGGAGGAGGGCCAGAGCAGGUCUGUUGGCACCCUAUCCUUUCCCUUGCGGCCCACCUGGAGCCCAGUGCCUUCAGACUGCUGUUGAAGUUACCAUAUUCCUCUGUCAUACUAUACUUCCCCUCUCCUAAACUGUCCAAUCGUGGAUUAUCUGGGUGAGCCCAAUGUAACCCCAAGGGCCUUUAAUAGUGGAAGAGGGAAUUGAAAGAAAACCAGAGACAAAGCAGCGUGAGAAGGACGUGGUCGAAUAUUGUUGACUUUGAAGAUGGAGGAGGAAGGCCAAGAGCCGAGCGGGUAAAACCUUCAAGGUGUGGGGACACUCUAGAAGAUGGAAAGGCAAGGAACAGGGUCCUUCCCUAGAGCCUCCAGAAAGGAACACAGCCUUGGUGACAUCUUGAUUUUAGUCCAGUGAGACCCAUUUCACCCUUCUGAACUAUAGAACUGGAAGACAAAUUUAUGUUCUGAGCCAACAAAUUUAUGGUGAUAACAGCAGAUCAAAGGCACGGGACCAGAA
Molecule: long non-coding RNA, 795 nt
Organism: Balaenoptera ricei (Rice's whale)
Lineage: Eukaryota; Metazoa; Chordata; Mammalia; Artiodactyla; Balaenopteridae
Exons: 3
Source: RefSeq, a predicted model, not a curated record